Molecule: non-coding RNA, 1585 nt
Organism: Cinara cedri
Lineage: Eukaryota; Metazoa; Arthropoda; Insecta; Hemiptera; Aphididae
Source: the annotation of a GenBank genome assembly
CGUAAAAAAAUAAUUUAUAAAAGUAUUUAUAAACACGUUUCCAAAAUAUCUGUACCUGUAUGCAAAUAGUUUUUUUUUUUUUUUUAGAAAAUUGUUUGAAUGCUUAUAAUUUCGUUUUCAUUUUCGGCCAAUAGCGGUCUAUUUAGAAGAAUCACCGUUUCUAAAAUGCUUUUCCACCUCUCUUUGUCCAAUGUCGUUUCCAUAUCCAGCAAUCGAUUGACUUUUUUUCGAUCUUUUUCUACUGUAUAAUAACGUCCUCCGCCGAGACUUGUCUUUUGGCAGUGUUUCUUUCAAGUAUGGUCAAGGUUCCCUUUUUAGAAAAUUUAAAGACUAGUAAAGAAAUAUCAAAUAUUAGAAAAAUUGUAUUUUUAUAUCACGGUCACAAUGACCUACCCGUACUCUAUUUACAAAUUCAUUUUUUUCCCAAUGGAAAUCAUUAAUUGCCUAGAUAAUAUUGUUGGAUACCCAUGACAAUAAAUAUCAUUGAAUAUCAAAAACAAUAUCAUUGGUUUAUUAAAAGCGUAUAAUUAAUGUACCCAUAGUGGUGUACUUAUUACUUGACUAUCUUUUAAACGGUGAAGUGUGUUGCUUGUAGUCGUGUUACAACUUACAGCGGAUACACAAUUUGUGCUAAACAAUAAAAACAAUAAAAUUAUAAAUAUAUAUAUUUUUUUUUUAAAUUUAAUUUAAUUGAACUACUGCAAUUGCUCCAACCUUACGGUAUAUUAGAUUCAACAAAAUGGUUUAAUCCUAUACCAGUUCGUUAGUAUGUAUUUAACUUUUAAGUUAUGUAUAGGAAUAAAUGCAUGACGUGCGCAUAUCAUAUCUAGGUUGUAGGCAUAUUAUUAUUUUUUUCGUGUGAAAUUGUAUAACCUAACCCAACCAAUUUGAUUAUUUGUAUCUGCCUAAACUUAAAACUAGGUUAUCUCGUUAACGGAUUGACGGAAGUUAAAAAUUAAAACACCUACUAAAAUAUUUUCGAACUCGUACUUCAUUUGUUUAUGUCGUUUUUAACAUAGUGUAUCGUUUGAAAAUCAAAAGUAGGCAUCUAGUGGUUGCAAAAACGACGGUAAUGCAACAUUUUGGAGCGUGUUUUUUUCUUCUUAAAUGUUCUCGAAUUCAGAAAAAGGUAAUUAUCAUUAUCGAACAAUUUGUUUUUCCUGAUGUAAUAUAAAUGCCAUCGCCCCUAGCCGGAGAAAAUCGUCCGAAAGGAACGCUGCCCUCUGGCGGUCAACGUAUAUUAUAAAUACGUUUUGAAAUCGCACCCGUAAUCGCUAUAAAAAAUUCUCGGAAAGAGGCAUUUAUUUCGAGUUCGGUGUCUGUAUUGUCAUGUUUUACUACCCGCGGAAGAAAAACAAACAUGUCGAUUAUUUGCUAUUGUAUAAUAUACGUAAUAUUGUUAUUAUUAAUGUCCGUACAAUUAUUAUUAUUAUUAUUAUUAUUGUUAUUUUUUAUUUUCCAUUCCAAGGAAACGUGUUUGCUUAUUGCGUGUACGCCGCGGCAAUAAUAAUUACAAUACGCGCGCUAAGUACCUAUACAACAAUAUACAUAUUGCACACCAAUACACUAUAUAUUUAUUUAACAA